GAGGGUAUAGCUCUGCGGUAGACCACUUGCUUAGCAUGCAUGAGGUCCUGGGUUCAAUCCCUAGUACCUCUG
RNAcentral lists this transfer RNA (72 nucleotides) under Camelus bactrianus (Bactrian camel). It matches the Rfam family "tRNA". From Rfam's summary of the family: Transfer RNA (tRNA) molecules are approximately 80 nucleotides in length. Their secondary structure includes four short double-helical elements and three loops (D, anti-codon, and T loops). Further hydrogen bonds mediate the characteristic L-shaped molecular structure. tRNAs have two regions of fundamental functional importance: the anti-codon, which is responsible for specific mRNA codon recognition, and the 3' end, to which the tRNAs corresponding amino acid is attached (by aminoacyl-tRNA synthetases). tRNAs cope with the degeneracy of the genetic code in two manners: having more than one tRNA (with a specific anti-codon) for a particular amino acid; and 'wobble' base-pairing, i.e. permitting non-standard base-pairing at the 3rd anti-codon position. Lineage: Eukaryota; Metazoa; Chordata; Mammalia; Artiodactyla; Camelidae. RNAcentral also lists the same sequence under 2 other names. The record is from Rfam by way of RNAcentral.